UGCUUAACACAUGCAAGUCGAACGGCAGCAUGACCUAGCUUGCUAGGUUGAUGGCGAGUGGCGAACGGGUGAGUAACGCGUAGGAAUAUGCCUUGAAGACUGGGAUAACUUGGGGAAACUCAAGCUAAUACCGGAUGAUGUCUGCGGACGAAAGCUGGGGACCAUUUUGGCCUGGCGCUUUAAGAUUAGCCUGCGUCCGAUUAGCUAGUUGGUGGGGUAAGGGCCUACCAAGGCGACGAUCGGUAGCUGGUCUGAGAGGAUGACCAGCCACACUGGAACUGAGACACGGUCCAGACUCCUACGGGAGGCAGCAGUGGGGAAUAUUGGACAAUGGGGGGAACCCUGAUCCAGCAAUGCCGCGUGUGUGAAGAAGGCCUGAGGGUUGUAAAGCACUUUCAGUGGGGAGGAGGAUUGAUAGGUUAAGAGCUAAUUGAUUGGACGUUACCCACAGAAGAAGCACCGGCUAACUCCGUGCCAGCAGCCGCGGUAAUACGGAGGGUGCGAGCGUUAAUCGGAAUUACUGGG
This 525-nucleotide ribosomal RNA is filed under the name Legionella cincinnatiensis. Its description in RNAcentral is "bacterial SSU rRNA". It matches the Rfam family "Bacterial small subunit ribosomal RNA", at positions 45 to 558 of the family's 1533-position model. Lineage: Bacteria; Pseudomonadati; Pseudomonadota; Gammaproteobacteria; Legionellales; Legionellaceae. The record is from RNAcentral.